AAACCCAUGUGUCAAAACCUGAUCUCGGUAGAUUUCAGAAGCUAAGCAGGGGCAGGUCUGGUUAGUACUUGGAUGGGAGACCGCAGGGAAUGUCAGGU
This 98-nucleotide ribosomal RNA is filed under the name Periophthalmus magnuspinnatus. Lineage: Eukaryota; Metazoa; Chordata; Actinopteri; Gobiiformes; Gobiidae. The record is from RNAcentral.